Molecule: long non-coding RNA, 244 nt
Filed under: Setaria italica (foxtail millet)
Lineage: Eukaryota; Viridiplantae; Streptophyta; Magnoliopsida; Poales; Poaceae
Description: long non-coding RNA (SITA_LNC004879)
Source: RNAcentral
AUAUUUUUGUUACACCAUGCAUGCACAAGCAAUUAAAGCAUCCAUCUUUGAAACUGAAUAAUGCCAAAUACCUCACGCCACCCAACAAAUUCAAGCUGAAUUUAACUUUGAAAAGUCAUCCAGCGCCAUUUCAGCUGGCGCCAUUUUUAAGUGGUUGAAAGCAACGAUUACAAAUUUUUAGAUGCCACCAUUUACUCCUUCCUUGGCUUAUAAAAGCCUGGCGAUGACUGCCUCACCAUCUUUC